GCACGGGUGAGUAACACGUAUCCAACCUGCCGACAACACUGGGAUAGCCUUUCGAAAGAAAGAUUAAUACCGGAUGGCAUAGUCUUCCCGCAUGGGAUGACUAUUAAAGAAUUUCGGUUGUCGAUGGGGAUGCGUUCCAUUAGGCAGUUGGCGGGGUAACGGCCCACCAAACCAACGAUGGAUAGGGGUUCUGAGAGGAAGGUCCCCCACAUUGGAACUGAGACACGGUCCAAACUCCUACGGGAGGCAGCAGUGAGGAAUAUUGGUCAAUGGACGAGAGUCUGAACCAGCCAAGUAGCGUGAAGGAUGACUGCCCUAUGGGUUGUAAACUUCUUUUAUACGGGAAUAAAGUGAGCCACGUGUGGCUUUUUGUAUGUACCGUAUGAAUAAGGAUCGGCUAACUCCGUGCCAGCAGCCGCGGUAAUACGGAGGAUCCGAGCGUUAUCCGGAUUUAUUGGGUUU
RNAcentral lists this ribosomal RNA (462 nucleotides) under uncultured bacterium. RNAcentral's name for it is "bacterial SSU rRNA". It matches the Rfam family "Bacterial small subunit ribosomal RNA", at positions 100 to 561 of the family's 1533-position model. The record is from RNAcentral.